UACGUAGGGAGCAAGCGUUGUCCGGAAUUACUGGGUAUAAAGGGAGCGUAGGCGGGUUUGUAAGUUGGAUGUGAAAUUUAUGGGCUCAACUCAUAAACUGCAUUCGAAACUACAAAUCUUGAGUGGAGUAGAGGCAGGCGGAAUUCCUAGUGUAGCGGUGAAAUGCGUAGAUAUUAGGAGGAACACCAGUGGCGAAGGCGGCCUGCUGGGCUCUAACUGACGCUGAGGCUCGAAAGCAUGGGUAGCAAAC
RNAcentral lists this ribosomal RNA (250 nucleotides) under uncultured prokaryote. RNAcentral's name for it is "partial 16S ribosomal RNA". It matches the Rfam family "Bacterial small subunit ribosomal RNA", at positions 524 to 773 of the family's 1533-position model. The record is from RNAcentral.